Molecule: ribosomal RNA, 2910 nt
Organism: Clostridium butyricum
Lineage: Bacteria; Bacillati; Bacillota; Clostridia; Eubacteriales; Clostridiaceae
Rfam family: Bacterial large subunit ribosomal RNA
Source: Rfam
GGUCAAGCUACAAAGGGCGCAUGGUGAAUGCCUUGGCAUCAGGAGCCGAUGAAGGACGUGAUAAGCUGCGAUAAGCUUCGGGUAGGCGCACAUAUCCAGAGAUCCGGAGAUUUCCGAAUGGGGAAACCCGCAUGAGAAACCUCAUGCAUCGUAAAGUGAAUACAUAGCUUUAUGAAGGAACACCUAGGGAACUGAAACAUCUAAGUACCUAGAGGAAGAGAAAGAAAAAUCGAUUUUCUUAGUAGCGGCGAGCGAAAAGGAAAGAGCCCAAACCAGAGAUUUAUCUCUGGGGUUGCGGACAGAACAUAACGUGAAAUUAUGAUUAACCGAACACAACUGGAAAGUUGGACCGUAGGAGGUAAUAGUCCUGUAAGUAAAAGUCAUAAUGAUCAGUUCUGCACCAGAGUACCACGAGACACGUGAAACCUUGUGGGAAGCAGGGAGGACCACCUCCCAAGGCUAAAUACUACCUGAUGACCGAUAGUGAAGCAGUACCGUGAGGGAAAGGUGAAAAGAACCCCGGGAGGGGAGUGAAAUAGAACCUGAAACCAUGUGCCUACAACCGAUCAAAGCACCUUAUGUGUGUGAUGAUGUGCUUUUUGUAGAACGAGCCAACGAGUUACGGUAUGUAGCGAGGUUAAGUACUUAAGGUACGGAGCCGAAGGGAAACCGAGUCUUAAUAGGGCGACUAGUUGCAUGCUGUAGACCCGAAACCGGGUGACCUAUCCAUGGCCAGGUUGAAGCGAGGGUAAAACCUCGUGGAGGACCGAACCACUUUGCUGUUGAAAAAGCAUGGGAUGAGCUGUGGAUAGCGGAGAAAUUCCAAUCGAACUCGGAUAUAGCUGGUUCUCCUCGAAAUAGCUUUAGGGCUAGCGUCGUGAAAUGUGAGUACUGGAGGUAGAGCACUGAAUAGGCUAGGGGGCAUAGCGCUUACCGAACCUUAUCAAACUCCGAAUGCCAGAUACUAUCAGCACGGCAGUCAGACUAUGAAAGAUAAGUUCCAUGGUCAAAAGGGAAACAGCCCAGAUCGUCAGCUAAGGUCCCAAAGUGUAAGUUAAGUGGAAAAGGAUGUGGGAUUUCUAAGACAACUAGGAUGUUGGCUUAGAAGCAGCCACUCAUUAAAAGAGUGCGUAAUAGCUCACUAGUCAAGAGAUCCUGCGCCGAAAAUGUCCGGGGCUCAAACUUACCACCGAAGCUACGGGUUCACACUUAUGUGUGAGCGGUAGAGGAGCGUCGUAAUCGGGCUGAAGUCGUACCGUAAGGAGCGGUGGACUGAUUACGAGUGAGAAUGUUGGCAUUAGUAGCGAGAUGUAGGUGAGAAUCCUACAGGCCGAAUAUCUAAGGUUUCCUGAGUAAAGUUUGUCUUCUCAGGGUUAGUCGGGACCUAAGGCGAGGCCGAGAGGCGUAGUCGAUGGACAAUUGGUUGAUAUUCCAAUACCACUAUAAUCGUUAUUAUCGAUGGUGUGACGGAGAAGGAUAGGAUGUGCCAGCUAUUGGAUGCUGGUCUAAGCGUUGAGGGAGUUAGAACAGGCAAAUCCGUUCUAACAAUCCUAGGGCGUGAUGGGGAAGGUUCUACGGAACCGAAGUAUCUGAUUUCAUGCUUCCAAGAAAAGCAUCUAGAAAGAGAAGUAGUGCCCGUACCGCAAACCGACACAGGUAGAUGAGGAGAGAAUCCUAAGGCCGACGGAAGAAUCACAGUUAAGGAACUAGGCAAAUUGACCCCGUAACUUCGGGAGAAGGGGUGCCUACCAAUUGGUAGGCCGCAGAGAAUAGGCACAAGCAACUGUUUAACAAAAACACAGGUCUCUGCUAAAGCGUAAGCUGAUGUAUAGGGGCUGACGCCUGCCCGGUGCUGGAAGGUUAAGGGGAACACUUAGCGCAAGCGAAGGUGUGAACUUAAGCCCCAGUAAACGGCGGCCGUAACUAUAACGGUCCUAAGGUAGCGAAAUUCCUUGUCAGGUAAGUUCUGACCCGCACGAAUGGCGUAAUGACUUGUGCACUGUCUCAACUGUGAAUCCGGCGAAGUUGUAGUGCGAGUGAAGAUGCUCGCUACCCGCGAUUGGACGGAAAGACCCCGUAGAGCUUUACUGUAGCUUAGCAUUGAAUUUCGGUAUUGUCUGUACAGGAUAGGUGGGAGACUGGGAAAUUAGGGCGUCAGCCUUAAUGGAGUCGUUGUUGGGAUACCACCCUGAUAGUAUUGAAGUUCUAACUGGAUGCCAUGAAACUGGUGACAGGACAUUGUUAGGUGGGCAGUUUGACUGGGGCGGUCGCCUCCUAAAAUGUAACGGAGGCGCCCAAAGGUUCCCUCAGAACGGUCGGAAAUCGUUCGUAGAGUGUAAAGGCAUAAGGGAGCCUGACUGCGAGACCUACAAGUCGAGCAGGGACGAAAGUCGGGCUUAGUGAUCCGGUGGUACCUCGUGGGAGGGCCAUCGCUCAACGGAUAAAAGCUACCUCGGGGAUAACAGGCUGAUCUCCCCCAAGAGUUCACAUCGACGGGGAGGUUUGGCACCUCGAUGUCGGCUCGUCGCAUCCUGGGGCUGAAGUAGGUCCCAAGGGUUGGGCUGUUCGCCCAUUAAAGCGGCACGCGAGCUGGGUUCAGAACGUCGUGAGACAGUUCGGUCCCUAUCCGUCGCGGGCGUAGGAAAUUUGAGAGGAGCUGUCCUUAGUACGAGAGGACCGGGAUGGACUGACCUAUGGUGUACCAGUUGUUUCGCCAGAAGCAUAGCUGGGUAGCUAAGUCGGGAAGGGAUAAACGCUGAAAGCAUCUAAGUGUGAAGCCCACCUCAAGAUGAGAUUUCCCAUAGCAUAAGCUAGUAAGACCCCUUGAAGACUACAAGGUUGAUAGGUCAGAGGUGUAAGUGCGGUAACGUAUUUAGCUGACUGAUACUAAUAGGUCGAGGGCUUGACCAA